Molecule: ribosomal RNA, 492 nt
Filed under: uncultured bacterium
Lineage: Bacteria
Description: partial 16S ribosomal RNA
Rfam family: Bacterial small subunit ribosomal RNA
Source: RNAcentral
AGUGAACGCUGGCGGUAGGCCUAACACAUGCAAGUCGAACGGCAGCACAGUAAGAGCUUGCUCUUACGGGUGGCGAGUGGCGGACGGGUUAGGAAUACAUCGGAAUCUACUUUUUCGUGGGGGAUGACGUAGGGAAACUUACGCUAAUACCGCAUACGACCUACGGGUGAAAGCAGGGGAUCUUCGGACCUUGCGCGAUUGAAUGAGCCGAUGUCGGAUUAGAUAGUUGGCGGGGUAAAGGCCCACCAAGGCGACGAUCCGUAGCUGGUCUGAGAGGAUGAUCAGCCACACUGGAACUGAGACACGGUCCAGACUCCUAUGGGAGGCAGCAGUGGGGAAUAUUGGACAAUGGGCGCAAGCCUGAUCCAGCCAUACCGCGUGGGUGAAGAAGGCCUUCGGGUUGUAAAGCCCUUUUGUUGGGAAAGAAAAGCAGCAGGUUAAUACCCCGCUGUUCUGACGGUACCCAAAGAAUAAGCACCGGCUAACUUCGUG